Molecule: ribosomal RNA, 467 nt
Filed under: uncultured bacterium
Lineage: Bacteria
Description: partial 16S ribosomal RNA
Rfam family: Bacterial small subunit ribosomal RNA
Source: RNAcentral
ACGAACGCUGGCGGCGUGCUUAACACAUGCAAGUCGAACGGACAGGCCCUGCUUUUGUGGGGUGCUCGAGUGGCGAACGGGUGAGUAACACGUGAGUAACCUGCCCUUGACUUUGGGAUAACUUCAGGAAACUGGGGCUAAUACCGGAUAGGAGCUCCUGCUGCAUGGGGGGGGUUGGAAAGUUUCGGCGGUUGGGGAUGGACUCGCGGCUUAUCAGCUUGUUGGUGGGGUAGUGGCUUACCAAGGCUUUGACGGGUAGCCGGCCUGAGAGGGUGACCGGCCACAUUGGGACUGAGAUACGGCCCAGACUCCUACGGGAGGCAGCAGUGGGGAAUAUUGCACAAUGGGCGGAAGCCUGAUGCAGCAACGCCGCGUGCGGGAUGACGGCCUUCGGGUUGUAAACCGCUUUCGCCUGUGACGAAGCGUGAGUGACGGUAAUGGGUAAAGAAGCACCGGCUAACUACGUG